Molecule: ribosomal RNA, 483 nt
Filed under: uncultured bacterium
Lineage: Bacteria
Description: partial 16S ribosomal RNA
Rfam family: Bacterial small subunit ribosomal RNA
Source: RNAcentral
GACGAACGCUGGCGGCGUGCUUAACACAUGCAAGUCGAACGAUGAAGCGGGUGCUUGCACUCGUGGAUUAGUGGCGAACGGGCGAGUAACACGUGAGUAACCUGUCCUUUUCCUUGGGAUAACGGCUGGAAACGGCUGCUAAUACUGGAUAUUCAGGCUGCAUCGCAUGGUGUGGUUUGGAAAGGUUUUUUCUGGGAUUGGGUGGGCUCGCGGCCUAUCAGCUUGUUGGUGGGGUGAUGGCUUACCAAGGCUUUGACGGGUAGCCGGCCUGAGAGGGUGGUCGGUCGCACUGGGACUGAGAUACGGCCCAGACUCCUACGGGAGGCAGCAGUGGGGAAUAUUGCACAAUGGACGAAAGUUUGAUGCAGCGACGCCGCGUGGAGGGUGUAGGCCUUCGGGUUGUGAACUCCUUUUUCUCGCGAAAAAGGCACAGUUUUGGCUGUGUUGAUGGUAGUGGGGGAAGAAGCGCCGGCUAACUACGUG